UACAGAGGGUGCGAGCGUUAAUCGGAAUUACUGGGCGUAAAGCGCGCGUAGACGGUUUUGUAAGUCAGAUGUGAAAUCCCUGGGCUCAACCUGGGAACUGCAUUUGAAACUGCAUGGCUAGAGUAUCGAAGAGGGAAGUGGAAUUUCCGGUGUAGCGGUGAAAUGCGUAGAUAUCGGAAGGAACACCAGUGGCGAAAGCGACUUCCUGGUCGAAUACUGACGUUCAUGUGCGAAAGCGUGGGGAGCAAACAGGAUUAGAUACCCUGGUAGUCCACGCCAUAAACGAUGACAACUAGAUGUUGGGAGGGUCUGCCUCUCGGUGUCGCAGCUAACGCGUUAAGUUGUCCGCCUGGGGAGUACGGCCGCAAGGUUGAA
This 375-nucleotide ribosomal RNA is filed under the name uncultured bacterium. Its description in RNAcentral is "bacterial SSU rRNA". It matches the Rfam family "Bacterial small subunit ribosomal RNA", at positions 524 to 898 of the family's 1533-position model. The record is from RNAcentral.